GCAUAUCAAUAAGCGGAGGAAAAGAAACCAACCGGGAUUGCCUUAGUAACGGCGAGUGAAGCGGCAAAAGCUCAAAUUUGAAAUCUGGUACCUUCGGUGCCCGAGUUGUAAUUUGGAGAGGGCAACUUUGGGGCCGUUCCUUGUCUAUGUUCCUUGGAACAGGACGUCAUAGAGGGUGAGAAUCCCGUGUGGCGAGGAGUGCGGUUCUUUGUAAAGUGCCUUCGAAGAGUCGAGUUGUUUGGGAAUGCAGCUCUAAGUGGGUGGUAAAUUCCAUCUAAAGCUAAAUAUUGGCGAGAGACCGAUAGCGAACAAGUACAGUGAUGGAAAGAUGAAAAGAACUUUGAAAAGAGAGUGAAAAAGUACGUGAAAUUGUUGAAAGGGAAGGGCAUUUGAUCAGACAUGGUGUUUUGUGCCCUCUGCUCCUUGUGGGUAGGGGAAUCUCGCAUUUCACUGGGCCAGCAUCAGUUUUGGUGGCAGGAUAAAUCCAUAGGAAUGUAGCUUGCCUCGGUAAGUAUUAUAGCCUGUGGGAAUACUGCCAGCUGGGACUGAGGACUGCGACGUAAGUCAAGGAUGCUGCAAAUAAACCAAACCA
Molecule: ribosomal RNA, 592 nt
Filed under: Saccharomyces cerevisiae (brewer's yeast)
Lineage: Eukaryota; Fungi; Ascomycota; Saccharomycetes; Saccharomycetales; Saccharomycetaceae
Description: eukaryotic LSU rRNA
Rfam family: Eukaryotic large subunit ribosomal RNA
Source: RNAcentral